AGCCAGACUCCUACGGGAGGCAGCAGUGGGGAAUAUUGCACAAUGGGGGAAACCCUGAUGCAGCGACGCCGCGUGAGCGAUGAAGUAUUUCGGUAUGUAAAGCUCUAUCAACAGGGAAGAAAAUGACGGUACCUGACUAAGAAGCCCCGGCUAACUACGUGCCAGCAGCCGCGGUAAUACGUAGGGGGCAAGCGUUAUCCGGAUUUACUGGGUGUAAAGGGAGCGUAGACGGCAUGGCAAGUCAGAUGUGAAAGCCCGGGGCUCAACCCCGGGACUGCAUUUGAAACUGUCAGGCUGGAGUGCAGGAGAGGUAAGUGGAAUUCCUAGUGUGGCGGUGAAAUGCGUAGAUAUUAGGAGGAACACCAGUGGCGAAGGCGGCUUACUGGACUGUAACUGACGUUGAGGCUCGAAAGCGUGGGGAGCAAACAGGAUUAGAUACCCCAGUA
RNAcentral lists this ribosomal RNA (446 nucleotides) under uncultured bacterium. RNAcentral's name for it is "bacterial SSU rRNA". It matches the Rfam family "Bacterial small subunit ribosomal RNA", at positions 329 to 792 of the family's 1533-position model. The record is from RNAcentral.